GGGGAAACAGACACACACGAAACACAUAAGACAGACAAAGGCGCCCACGUGGAGAAAAGAUGGAAAAAAACUCAGCGACUCUCCGGUGCUGGCCUGGAAUUUUAACUAAAGAGGCGUUUCCCUAUUUAAUAUAUGCAAAGAAGGCGUUCUGUUUGACCAAUCAGGGACCUGUUUCGGCCCCCCAGAGAACCCCGGAAACUCCCCUCAUUACAGCCCCGAUGUCUGGUUUUUGUCUAGGCAAAAAGGGGGGGGGACCACUUCGUCUUAGGCCGUGCCAGGUACGGGGAGAGGCGCCAAAGAGUCUCCUGCUCUAUCGGAAUGUAAAUUUUAUUGCUGUGUCUGUCGCCUGGCCUCACAGUGGGAGUCCCAUUGAGAGAUCUCCCUUAAUCAGCAUUUGGUUCCUGUGUCUCUGAAUGCUUACCCAUCUGGUUUAAUUUUAAAUGCCUAACACAACCCUGUUCAAAAUAAGAGUGUUCCAUAUACCUUUUAAGAUUAACUGUAUUAAGCAUUAAAAUAAUCAUAUUUCCUAACAGGUAUAAUGGUCAGUAAGUAUCUGCAGGUCUCUGCUCCCACAUCACGCUGCACCAAGACACAGGCAGUAAAUACACUGCUGUCAUUGAGGAACAAUUCAUUUGUGUAUUUUCGCCGCACAUGAGAAGUCCCGUCUUCAAAUACUACUAUACUAACAUGUCGCCAACAUAUGAAAUGACUGACGUGUUUUCUGUUGUUUGCCUGUUAGCUCCGUUAGCUCCCUUAACAUGGCUGCUAGAGUCGGUCUCUGCCGCGGUUUGUUUAAAAACAAAAUGAUCCGAUCUCCAGAUUACCUGCAUGCCUGCGUACGUGUGUCUCUGUUGUUAAAGUUUAGCGUUACUUCUCAGAGUUUUAUUUUUACAAUCGGGACUCUGAAGACUCAUGUAAAUUCGACGUGUCGCACGUCUUUUCCGGUCAGUCGUCAUGGAAACAGGACGCUCAUCUAGCGUGCUGAUGUGGACCAGAGUGGAAACAAACAUGUUGUAAAAUGAAAACAAAGUACCACUGUAUCCAACCUUAUGUGUGUAAACACCCACUGUUGCUGCACCUAAUUUUUUUAAAGGAAUUGUGUGUUCAAGUAAAACAUUUUAGAAUUGAUUUUAUAUUAUAUUGGGUAUUGUUAAAACGUCAGUGCUUAAUAAAUAUUUUCAGAAUCUUGUAAUAUUGUUUAUGAAGCAUAUUAUAUCUAUGAAUAUGAUCUAUGAAGCUAAUUCUAUGAAGAAUGAAUAUUAAUCUAUGCAAUUGCAUUGCCUUUAUUUUAAUGAGGUAAGUACAGUUAUUUCUGCACAACAGACCCUUGUCAGACAGACAGACCGCUUUGAUCAGAGGAGCACAGAGAAACUGCAAAAAUAUUUACCUUAUGUUUAGUUUCUACCUUCAUUAAAGAGCCUCAGACUAAUUGUGACGUUAGAUAAAUGACUUGUAACUUGUUGGUUGUUAAAGGGAGAGUGGAGGCUCAAUUCCACAUCAUGGUUUAAAACCAAACCUGCAUGAUCAGAACCUUGGACCCGGUGUCACAGCUCUCGUCUCUGCGGCAUCACAAUUCUGGGCCCCGUAAAGCAUAAUCUCUUGUUUAUGAGGUUGUUCAUGAGGUUAACAUGAAGAUAAUAACCUCUGAACUAUACAUUAGCCCUUAUAUAUUUCUUCUCCCAGGUACAUGUCUGAUCAUUUCUUUUUCUCUUAUUUCUGUUGCAGCCAGAGUCUUUGUAUGUGGACACUUAGUAUUUGCCCUCUCUUCAGUUCCUCUUGUCUGUCCUCCACAAGCAGGGACUCACUGAUAGACCACUCUGCUUCCAGUUUUGGGGCUGACACACUCUCCCACGUCCUCACACCCAGUGUAUCCUGUACAGAUCAAGGAAGAGUUCAGACGUAUCACGACAGUUUCCUUGGAGGAGACAUUCAUGCUAAAGCUUGAUGAGUACACACCAAGUCUUAUGCAGCUUAUGCGUGCUAAAGGAGGGGCUGCUGGUUCUAAGAUGCACCCUCUGUUGGACACUUUAUUUAACUUUUUUUCCACAAAUAUGUCAUUAUUGAUAUACGUGAAUUAAAAGUGAAUUAAUUUGUAAAGAAUUGCUUUGUUGUGCACAAAGUUGAGCUCCUUACCAACUUAAACUACCCUUUGGUUUUUAAGCAAUUCGGUGUUAGUGUAUGUAAUUCUCUCCCCACUCUCCACUAACAGUCUUUUCACUAAAUUGUAUAUCCCUACAGACAGAGCAUUGAGAAAAAUAGGGAUGCAGUUGUCUGCUGCCUCAUUAACUACCUUGGUGAAAGACAAGAAGAUCUUUUCCAUGACUGCCAGGAAUGUGAGGACUACACAGACAAAACAAUGAAGGUGAUCGUGAUGCACAACAUCAUGGCUGAGGAGGAUCCAUCAGAUGUGUCGAUUGUGAUUGAGAGAAACCAAGUGAUGGAAGGAUGUGGAAGCCGAACAAAGGCGUGUGUACUGCUGAUGGGACUGAUAUAUGCCCUCAACCAUGACUAUCCAAAGCAGCUCAAGAACACAUUUGAAGCUUUUCAAAAAAAAUUUUUGGAACUUGAUGGGGCAAAACUACUGAAGAAGAUCCACAGCCUCAAAAACAAGCUCAUGCAAUAGACAUACAUUUCCCCUCUUAUUCCAAGAGGAUCUUUUGUCUGGACAGAGAGUUUUGAUGGAGUAUAGUUUUAUAUUUUUGUUCUCUUCCCUCCUCUGCUCCACACACAGAAAUAUAUGUACAGAUGGAUACAUAAGUAUGUUGCAGCCUCUCUCAGUUUUUUGUUGUGUAUAAAUACACCUGCAGAUUUCAGAUUUGCUCAGUCACUGUUGUGUGAGGCCGAAGAAACACAAGUAAGAGUUUAGAUACAAGAAAAUCUUCAUAUGAUUGGACAUCCCUUGCACCUCUGCUCUGAUCACCUCACUUCUCCUUUUCUCUGAUCAACUCCUU
This is a long non-coding RNA of Xiphophorus maculatus (southern platyfish), 2951 nucleotides long. RefSeq lists it as uncharacterized. Lineage: Eukaryota; Metazoa; Chordata; Actinopteri; Cyprinodontiformes; Poeciliidae. The transcript has 3 exons. The record is from RefSeq and is a predicted model, not a curated record.